Long non-coding RNA from Corapipo altera (White-ruffed manakin), 314 nucleotides. RefSeq lists it as uncharacterized. The transcript has 3 exons. NCBI's taxonomy places the organism in Eukaryota, Metazoa, Chordata, Aves, Passeriformes, Pipridae. The record is from RefSeq and is a predicted model, not a curated record.
GUCUGGAUGAAGUCUCUGAAUGUACUGAUGACAGAGCUGUUUUGAUGGCUAGCCCUUAUAUCAGAGAUGUUAAAGGUGGCUAGGUGAGAAUACUUCAACUUUCAUUCCUUGCUACCUUUAUUUCACCUGAGACCCAGCUAGCAAACCCAGCGCUGUGCGUCCGUAUAUACCCGCUACAUCUGGAAGGCCUUUACAAUUCACCUGUUAGCCUGAGAAAGAAAACACCUCAAAGAACAUACAGUUAUAGCCCUCCCAUUGUUUGCUCUGUUCCAUACCCAAGCUUACAACCAACCACCAGUGCCCAAAACUGCACA